Molecule: non-coding RNA, 23 nt
Filed under: Cricetulus griseus (Chinese hamster)
Lineage: Eukaryota; Metazoa; Chordata; Mammalia; Rodentia; Cricetidae
Source: RNAcentral
CUGUCCUGAAACUGGCCCUGUAG